This 1947-nucleotide long non-coding RNA is filed under the name Carassius auratus (goldfish). Its description in RNAcentral is "lncRNA (ENSCARG00000045288.1)". The record is from RNAcentral. Lineage: Eukaryota; Metazoa; Chordata; Actinopteri; Cypriniformes; Cyprinidae.
UAUUGAUAUUCGAAAUAUAUAAGACUAUUAACAUUAAAUGGGAUUCUGAAUGCAGUGUGUGUCAUAAUGAUUAUUUUAAUAUGAUGUUCUUCCAGAUCGUUUUUUCUUGCUGAGGUGGUUGGUGGGAGGCUGAGUCCCAGCAGAAUGGUGGUGGUCCGGUUUUUGGAAUCUGAGGCUACCCUUCAGGGGAUCAUUGGUAAAGUUCAAGAUGCCAUUGGAUGUCAUGACCCAAUGGUAUUGACUGAUGUGCAGGGGAAUGCAAUUUUGGAGUCAGAAGGCACAACUGGGUCCCAGUACUGGAAACAAAAUGCAAGAAAGAUUCUUGCUAUACAAGAACAGGCCUUCCAGGAGGUGCAGGGCUCUAAAAGGAGGAGAAUGAGCCGAAAAGAUGAAGAUGCUGCCGGAAUUGGAGAGGUCACUGAGAAGAUAGAAGAGCUUGUACUGGCAUCACAGACCUUACCAGAUAUCACUGCAGCAAUCAGAGAGCUCACCAAUCUAGCUGCCACUCAAAGAGUGAUCCUGACUCCUUCACAGCUACAGACCAUCAAGCAAGGAUUCUGCUGUGUUAUUUGUAUGAGUGAGUACACAAUAGCUAGUCAUUGUCCCACAUGUACACUUAUUUUGAAUCCAUUUUGAUCCAGAAUUGUAAUUUUUCCACGUACGCAUUACAUUUUCGAACCAUGGUCACCUAUGUCUCAUCCACUACAAUUAAUUACAUGUACAAAUGCAGACCUUUGUGUUCCAACCCAUGGUGUAACGAUACAUUAACAAAAAGUGUGUGUCUGAAAUCGCUCCCUAUCCACUAUAUAGUGCACUAUUUAGCAGAGAUGGGACCAAGUCACACAUGUGCAAGUCUCAAGUAAGUCUCAAGUCUUAACCUUCAAGUCUCAAGUAAGUCCCAAGUAUUUUUUUCUUGGGCAAGUCAAGUCAAGUCAAGUCACAAGCUAUGUCAAGUCAAGUCCAAGUCAAGUCACCUUAAUAUUGUUAUUUUACCUGCAGAAUCUGAUCUUAAUAAAGUUAAAAGACAAGAUAUAAGUAACUGUCAGUAAAUUAAAAUAAUUUGGAUUUGCAUUGUAAAUACUCAUGUUCAGUAAAAUACAUCAUGGAAUCAAACAAAAUUGUAACUUCCUAAAAUUUAUUUAUUUUUCACUUCUGCCAACAGUGUUUGAAAUGUUUUACAUUUUCAACAUUGAGUCCAUAAAACUAAACAUCCAACAGACUCCUCUCUGAACAUCUCUCUCUCUCUCUCUCUCUCUCUCUCAAACACAGUUUACAUAUAACAUUAAACUGUUACUUUUCUUCUCUCUCUUUCUCUCUCUCAGAGUAUAGAAUAUAAAUAUGACGUAUUUUCAGUUGUUUCAUACUUUUUUUGUUAUGUACAGUACAGACCAAAAGUUUGGACACACCUUCUCAUUCAAAGAGUUUUCUUUAUUUUCAUGACUAUGCAAAUUGUAGAUUCACACUGAAGGCAUCAAAACUAUGAAUUAACACAUGUGGAAUUAUAAAUGGAAUUAUAUACAUAACAAAAAAGUGUGAAACAACCAAAAAUAUGUCAUGUUCUAGGUUCUUCAAAGUAGCCACCUUUUGCUUUGAUUACUGCUUUGCACACUCUUGACAUUCUCUUGAUGAGCUUCAAGAGGUAGUCACCUGAAAUGGUCUUCCAACAGUCUUGAAGGAGUUCCCCUUAGAGAUGCUUAGGCACUUGUUGGCCCUUUUGCCUUCUGUCUGCGGUCCAGCUCACCCCUAAACCAUCUCGAUUGGGUUCAGGUCCGGUGACUGUGGAGGCCAGGUCACUCUCCUUCUUGGUCAAAUAGCCCUUGAUGCCUUCAGUGUGACUCUACAAUUUUCAUAGUCAUGAAAAUAAAGAAAACUCUUUGAAUGAGAAGGUGUGUCCAAACUUUUGGUCUGUACUGUACAUAACAAAAAAGUAUGAAACAACUUAAAAUA